This 198-nucleotide ribosomal RNA is filed under the name uncultured bacterium. RNAcentral describes it as "partial 16S ribosomal RNA". It matches the Rfam family "Bacterial small subunit ribosomal RNA", at positions 326 to 539 of the family's 1533-position model. The record is from RNAcentral.
ACGCUCGACACCUACGGGAAGCAGCAGUGGGGAAUAUUGCACAAUGGGGGAAACCCUGAUGCAGCGACGCCGCGUGGAGGAAGAAGGUCUUCGGAUUGUAAACUCCUGUUGUUGGGGAAAAAGAGGAUGGUACCCAACAAGGAAGUGACGGCUAACUACGUGCCUGCAGCCGCGGUAAUCUGAGCGGGCUGGCAAGGC